CCUAACUUCAUGUGCCAAGGUGGUGACUUCACCGCCGGAAACGGCACCGGCGGUGAAUCAAUCUAUGGGGCUAAGUUUGCCGAUGAGAACUUCGUGAAGAAGCACACUGGACCUGGUGUGCUUUCCAUGGCUAAUGCCGGUCCUGGGACUAAUGGAUCUCAGUUCUUUGUCUGCACUGUUAAGACCGAAUGGCUUGACGGGAAACAUGUCGUUUUCGGCCAGGUUGUUGAAGGGAUGGACGUGGUGAAGGCAAUUGAGAAGGUUGGAUCUGGAAAUGGCAGGACUUCGAAGCCUGUUGUUGUUGCUGACUGUGGUCAACUCUCUUAGAGUCCCUUGGUUGACAU
Molecule: long non-coding RNA, 344 nt
Filed under: Populus trichocarpa (black cottonwood)
Lineage: Eukaryota; Viridiplantae; Streptophyta; Magnoliopsida; Malpighiales; Salicaceae
Description: long non-coding RNA (PTRI_LNC001289)
Source: RNAcentral